RNAcentral lists this ribosomal RNA (750 nucleotides) under Yersinia enterocolitica. RNAcentral's name for it is "partial 23S ribosomal RNA". It matches the Rfam family "Bacterial large subunit ribosomal RNA", at positions 2180 to 2925 of the family's 2925-position model. Lineage: Bacteria; Pseudomonadati; Pseudomonadota; Gammaproteobacteria; Enterobacterales; Yersiniaceae. The record is from RNAcentral.
AUGGAGCCAACCUUGAAAUACCACCCUUUAAUGUUUGAUGUUCUAACUCGGCCCCAUAAUCUGGGGUGAGGACAGUGUCUGGUGGGUAGUUUGACUGGGGCGGUCUCCUCCCAAAGAGUAACGGAGGAGCACGAAGGUUAGCUAAUCACGGUCGGACAUCGUGAGGUUAGUGCAAAGGCAUAAGCUAGCUUGACUGCGAGAGUGACGGCUCGAGCAGGUACGAAAGUAGGUCUUAGUGAUCCGGUGGUUCUGAAUGGAAGGGCCAUCGCUCAACGGAUAAAAGGUACUCCGGGGAUAACAGGCUGAUACCGCCCAAGAGUUCAUAUCGACGGCGGUGUUUGGCACCUCGAUGUCGGCUCAUCACAUCCUGGGGCUGAAGUAGGUCCCAAGGGUAUGGCUGUUCGCCAUUUAAAGUGGUACGCGAGCUGGGUUUAGAACGUCGUGAGACAGUUCGGUCCCUAUCUGCCGUGGGCGUUGGAAGAUUGAGAGGGGCUGCUCCUAGUACGAGAGGACCGGAGUGGACGAAUCACUGGUGUUCGGGUUGUCAUGCCAAUGGCAUUGCCCGGUAGCUAAAUUCGGAAGAGAUAACCGCUGAAAGCAUCUAAGCGGGAAACUUGCCUCGAGAUGAGUCUUCCCUGGGGCUUUAAGCCCCCUGAAGGAACGUUAAAGACUAUGACGUUGAUAGGCUGGGUGUGUAAGUGCAGCGAUGCAUUGAGCUAACCAGUACUAAUGAUCCGUGAGGCUUAACCU